Molecule: long non-coding RNA, 2033 nt
Organism: Xenopus tropicalis (tropical clawed frog)
Lineage: Eukaryota; Metazoa; Chordata; Amphibia; Anura; Pipidae
Exons: 3
Source: RefSeq, a predicted model, not a curated record
UAUUUCUGCGCUUGAUAAAUGCUGGAAUCUACACUUUCCAGCGGUGGGAUGAUUUAGGGUCAAGCACCCCCAACACAGGACUGAGUGCUUUCAUGCAUUGGGGUCAGUUGUUCAACACUUGCACCCACAACUAUCCCCAUAGAGUUACUUGUAAAUAGCACAAAGGGCUACUUAGUCUGACUUCUGUAUGAGGUUUUCCGACUCCCUGAGCCACAAAUGGCAAGAGACAAUGUAAAGAGCCCGAGUAGAGAGAACAAGGCCCAAUGCUGCCUGGGCAGAACUAACACACACACAAUACACACACAAUACACACACAAUACACAAAGCCAGUGCACUUUAACUGAUCUAAGAGAUGGGCAGACACUGGGGCUCAAGCCACAAAAUCGUUCUUCUUGCUGCUGUGUCGCACGUUGAAGGAUCUCACACAAAGCGCAAUAAAGCGACAUUUGCCUAAUGCGACGAACUAGAGCGAUUCCCAGCAGCUGCACGACAGGGGAAGUAUGCGCCUCUCACAACACGAAUUAAUGAGCAGCCUGAUGAUUCAGGAGAUUAACACAAAUAAAAUGGAAGGCAGGCGGGGGAGGACUGUUUGGGCCUACAGCACUCAUCGGCACCUUGGCAUAUCUCUUUCUACAACUCCCAGCAUCAUCCGACGGAGAGGGGCUGCCGCCGGGGGAGUUAAGUUGGAAGUGCCGGCUUACGCCCAGUUCAGUAUUUUAGCAGCAGGCACUUCCACUGCCAGGUUUGUUCCUGAGCACCCAAGGCUGGGAUUGUGACCAGAGCCCAGAAGGAAAUUCAUGUGCUCCUUAACCACAUGGUCCCAUAAGCUCAUGAAGUCUUUGGCAAUGAAGUGUUAAUUAUCCAAGCAGAUCGCUGCACUACAACAUGAAAACACCCCUCUGCCAUCCCCGGGAAUAGGAGGACAUAGUUGGACUUCCCAUUUUUUUCCAAGAUGGACAUUGUUCCCACAGACAAUAGACUGCUGACCCUGUGCUCUGUGUUACUGAAUACCUCAAAUGCAGCCAGGCGCAUGUAGGCCAAAUGGGAGCUUAAAGGAAGCUCUAGUAGGAUAGUGUUGUGCAUUAGGAAACACAUUAUGUACACUGCAGCAUCAUUAUCUUCAUGCAAAAGGACAUUAGGUAAGCGUCAGUGCUAGCUUUUUCACUACAGAGUCUUAAACCAGCAAGAAACUCAUGUUAUAUGUGCUAAAAAAAUACCACAUAAUAUCAUAGGGCCACAGUGACAGAAUAAAUAAAGGAUGCUUAACACAGGCUUGGCAUAGAACAGACUUGGGUCUAACAAGGUUACAGCUGCCCAGUCCUAAACUCCCUAAACAAUCUACUGCACAACCUUCCCAACUGUCAAUUUCAGUGCUGAGGAUUUUUCAGGAUACCUAUUUGCUUUAUCAUUUUUUAUUCUACAGGGUCAGACUCAUCAUCCACAAAAACCUUUUUAUAGGGACCAAACAAUGUUUUGCAAGUUUGUCUUAGCCACAUCUCAACGCCUGUCAGUUUUGCCUCGUACUGUACUAAUUGGCAUUCACCCAUACACUGGCCAAUCACAUAUAGCAUCCAACAUAUUGUCCCACAGAUCAUGCAUGAUGCAAAUACCAUGCAAGGUGCCAAACACAGUCUUUCAUAUACCUCCUUUCCCUAUAUGUUUUUCUUUCAAUAAAGCUUCCUGUUAAAUAUGUUUAAGUUUUUAUGAAAGUAACUUUCAUAAAUAAAUGUACUUAAAAGCAUGCAAACAACAAUGUUCUGUUCUCAAAAGCAUUUUAACCUUGUAAGGUGUCUGGAGGUGGAUGAUUUGGGCUAUGCUCAAAAGAAAUUACUCUAAAGCAAUGUAAAAUCUGACAGCAGAAUUAGUAACAAAUACUUUAUAUUACCAAAAGUAUCUAGGCAUCUGCCAAUUUGCCUUUCAACAUCUCAUUCCAAAACUAAGGGUAUUAAUAUGAUAUUGGUCCUUCCUUUGUUGCUAUAACCUCCUCUGCUCUUCUGAGAGGACUUUCCACUACAUAUAGAAACAUUCAUCAU